CAACAGCUAGAGUUUGAUCCUGGCUCAGAACGAACGCUGGAGGCAUGCUUAACACAUGCAAGUCGAACGAUUCACUGUGGUGCUUGCACUGCGGUGGGGAGUGGCAAACGGGUGAGUAACGCGUGGGAAUGUGCCCUUUAGACUGGGAUAACAUCUGGAAACGGAUGCUAAUACUGGAUGAACCGGAGACGGGAAAGAUUUAUUGCUAGAGGAGUGGCCCGCGUUAGAUUAGGUAGUUGGUGUGGUAAUGGCAUACCAAGCCUGUGAUCUAUAGCUGGUCUGAGAGGAUGAUCAGCCACACUGGAACUGAGACACGGUCCAGACUUCUACGGAAGGCAGCAGUGGGGAAUAUUGGACAAUGGGGGAAACCCUGAUCCAGCGAUGCCUCGUGAGUGAAGAAGGCCUUAGGGUUGUAAAGCUCUUUUAUCAGGGAAGAUGAUGACGGUACCUGAUGAAUAAGCUCCGGCUAACUUCGUGCC
This 479-nucleotide ribosomal RNA is filed under the name uncultured bacterium. RNAcentral's name for it is "bacterial SSU rRNA". It matches the Rfam family "Bacterial small subunit ribosomal RNA", at positions 1 to 509 of the family's 1533-position model. The record is from RNAcentral.